Symphalangus syndactylus (siamang) is the source of this 930-nucleotide long non-coding RNA. RefSeq lists it as uncharacterized. The record is from RefSeq and is a predicted model, not a curated record. Lineage: Eukaryota; Metazoa; Chordata; Mammalia; Primates; Hylobatidae.
AGAAAACAAUUGAAGUUAAAGUGAGCUUAAAGACAUCAGAAAACGACCACUAAUUAGCCCUAAUCUUCUUCGUUAUACUUUUGGCAACAUAUCAAACAUAAGUCAGAUACUCCACUUUGAAACCCAGCCACUAUACUUUGAGAGAGUUAAGAAGUGACGAUGUUAGUUGGUCUCACCUGACAGCAUGCAUCGACUACUCAAUAUGAGUGAGAAAACCCUCACAUGAAUCUCACUUCCAACCUUCAUGCCACUCCAUUUCGUGCCAAGCAGAGAAGUCCCCACCAAGACCUACUCACUCCAAUUAGAGACUGAAUGAAAAUGCAAUCCUAUGACUGUCCCACCAUUGUUCUUCAGAAACACAUAACUUUCUAGUUUCACAAGUUUACAGUUAAAGAGGAAUUUUGCUUGAGGAAAAAUUGUACCUCAAGUCUCACCUAUAACUGAUUUAGAUGAUCUUUAGAUGAAAUUUUGGACUCAGAACCGAUGCUAGCAUUGGUUAACACAUUUAUGGACUGUUGGGACGGAGUGAAUGUAUUUUUUAUGUGAGAAGGAGUGUUGUGCUGUUGAGAUCAAUGUAUUUUGCAUGUGAGAAGGACAUAAAUUUCAGGGGAGCAGAAUGUAGAAUGUUAUGGACAUUUUAGGGGAGCACAGUGUGGAAUGUUAUGCAACAUUCGUAUGUGGAAGUCCUGUCCUGAAACGUGGCUGUAUUUGAAGAUAGGCCCUUUAGGAAGGUAGGUAAAGUUAAAUAAGGUCAUACGGGUGAAAUAUGGGUAGUAUCCUUGGAGGAACAGACACUUAGGAUAUGCAUGAACAGAGGAAAAGUCAUGUGAAGACACAGCAAAAAAAGGGAACCAUCAACAAGCCAAGCAGAAGCCUCAUUAGAAAACAAACUUGCUGACAUCUUGAUCUUGGGCUUCUAGUCUUCAGAAC